This is a long non-coding RNA of Diachasmimorpha longicaudata, 3561 nucleotides long. RefSeq lists it as uncharacterized. The record is from RefSeq and is a predicted model, not a curated record. NCBI's taxonomy places the organism in Eukaryota, Metazoa, Arthropoda, Insecta, Hymenoptera, Braconidae. The transcript has 3 exons.
UUGCAAUGAGAUAUGGCCGCCAGUUCUCAUUAAAAUAGUUUAAUAUAUAUUUGUCAAGCUAUCGCGGCACGAACGCCGAGCAUAUCCUGCCGAGCGUUCAUAUUAUUUGUUAUUUUAUUUAUUUUUUUUUUUUCAUGCGUCAUCUCCAUCCGGUUUAUUUACAUUUUAUACAAUUUUUCUCUCUCAUUUUUAAUGCCGUUGCAUUUAAUGACCAGAUUAUCGCGGUAUUAACCCUCAUGACUCGAAUUUCAUUCGACAAUUGAUGAUGAGGUGAAAUGUCAUCGAUAGUUUCUCGAUUUUCGGUACGUGAUAAAAUACAAAAUGAAAAGGAUCGGGAAAAUUGGUUUGUAGUUGUGGUAGAAUUUUUUGUGGAAGUUUACUAACAUUCAAAUGACAAAGCAAAAAGUCAAGAAGAGUAGACACUAACGAGUACAACGUGCGAGCCAGAUCUUAUUGCAGUGAGCACGCGAUCUGUUCCCCAUUGCGCGGAUGAUAUCGAUCGUACCGAUUAAUAAUCACAACCAAGUGUGGAUUCUCGUUAUACAUCUUGUAGAGAGGGACUUUCUCCCUUUCAAAAAGUUCAUCGUCAACUAGUAUAGAUUUAUAUCAUUGUGUGUAUGCUGUCACUCUACGAAACGAUAAAUAAUUGCUGGUAAUUUGAGAAAAUAUACUUCGUGAUAAAUAAAUGCUGGAUGGGAUAAAAUUUGUAGUGGUAAAGGAGAUAAAUUAAAUGAGCUGGAAUUAUCAACAUUAUAAAUAAUUUCUGAAUGUUGAUUUUCAAAAAAUCGGACCAUAACUGCCGAGGAGCCAAUGGAACCGUUAAAUCAGGCCACUCCAUUGUAACUCGUGUGAAUACGAGUGCAAAGAUGGUAGUCACGCUGCUGUUACUUCUUUUCAUCCCAAUGGACAAUUGCACGAAUCCGAAACCAUUGUCCAAUGCAAAUUGUGGCCAACCGUCAGGAUUUUCUUGCUAGUUGGAUCACGAAGGAAUCCCAGAAUCAUAGAGAGAAGUUACAAGUGCGUGACGAGGACGGAAUUAUCACGAAUCGCGGUGAAAAGAGAUCUCCAAAAUCGUCACAAAACAGUGUUGUUUACAAUAAAUUACAACUAAUUGAAAAGAAAAAAUUCACGAGUGCCGGUAAACUGAAGGAAACGAGUGUCAAAAGACUUUGGUAAUUCUCCUGGGACCGGGGGGCGUGGGCUGUAACUGGGAGAUGCAAACUCAUUGUUGAAGCCCUCUUUCAAUAUAAAUAUUCAGUAGUUCUGGGGUUACAUACGCCAUCCGCCCUCUAAAAGGCGUGGAUAUGAAAAAUAAUGAGAGAAACAAAACCCUCGAGGGAGAAAUUAAUAAUUUUUUUGGUUUCGAUAAACGGAGAGAAAUAUUUUACAAUAAUUCUAGAGCAAGCGGCCAAAAUAGUUACGUAAUAGUUACCAAACUCAAUUACCGCCCUUCGUUUAUUGCUUCCAUAAGUUGUUAAUUACGUUUGAUUCCAAUAAAACUAUUAUUUACUCCAAUUAACUAUUUACUAUUUACUCCAAUCGGGCCUUGAGUUUAAAUUUCUAGGGAUUUCUAGGGGGAUCGGGCCCUUUACCAUACUCGACCCGCCGUCAACUAUGGGUCCCUUAACUAUGCAUAUACCAUAGUAACCGUCACCAUGCGAAAUGGUACGUUUCACACUAUCAGUCGUGUCCACUACCAUCGAGUCUCGCCAUGUCCUGGUAACCGUUAGCCCAUAGUAAUCACAACUACCCCAUAGUUCCGUAAAUAUUUGCAUAGUUCUCCCCACUUUAAUCCGUUAAGAAUUUACCCAAGCGGAUGAGACUAUUCCUCUUUCUUCUCUCCACUGUUUUUACAUCGAAGAAUGGUUUUUCUCAAAAUUAUUGCCGUUAUUGAUUUUCUGUUCUCUAUCUGGUGCAGAGGAGAGUGCAUCCGAUGAGUAGAAUGUGGUGAGAGACGGGCCCAAGCGGAGGCCCGACCGUAAAUACGUUGGAAUGCAGACACGGCGCGCGCGGUUGUCCAUGGAAGAGGCAGCCAGCGGGUUUGCCCUCUUCUCAUGUAGUGAGGAUGGGUAAAAUAAGCGUGUGGACGAAUGAAAGAAAAAGACAGAGAUAGAAAAUACUAGGUCGAUGGCCACUGCAUUCGACCGCACGAUUUCAAAUUCUUCAUGUUAUUAUGAUAAAAAUUUUAGUUAAAAAAUAAUGAAAAUGGAAAAAUUUUGUGUCUAACUGGGGAGGAUAUUUUUCAAUUGGUUGAAGUAUUAAAUAAACGAAUUAAAAAAAUUAAGUAAGGCGGAUGAAGCCGGCGUUUAACAUAAAUAUUGCUGAAAAAUAUUUCGACAUGCCUCAAGGCUGAUCUGCUGACGCGACGUUAAUUGAAAGCACGCCCGGGUCCUGUAUCCCCCCCCCCACACACCCCCGAUCCAUGGCCAACAGCCGACGUAAAACCAGGUGGGAAUAAAAUAAAAAGGGAAUGGGGAAAAGUGCAGUAAUGGAGGAUUGAAUAGUAAAUUGCAAUGUUAAUAAGUAGGCACAUUUGAAUCGAGGUGAAUGAAUAAAGAAUGGAGGGAGAGAGAGAGUAGAAAGAGAUGAAAAGAGAAAUUAAAAGAAUCAAGUCGCCAUUCUCUUUCUUUCUCUGGCUAAAGAACGGAGAGACCGCCAAGUUUACGAUGAGCCAACGUAAGCACGACACUCGUCUGCUAACUGGCUCCCUAGCUACCGUCGCCGGUGGAUCUUCCCUCGGUCAUUACUACGACUCCUCAGAGAAAUUUAUCAAAAAUCGUAAACGAAUUUGAAUUAGAGAGGAAAAAGUCACUCUGCUCGACUGGAUUUUGAUCCCUAAUGUGUUGGGGGGCUCUACCCCUCAGUACGGCCCUGAGGUUGUUUUGAAUGUCUCCAUUCCGCAACAGCAACGCUACUCGGCUGUUUUAUCGGUGGAUAAGUGAAUUUGAUGAAUUGAUGGGUCAGUUAUUGAGAUACAGAAGUAAGUUGAAUCAACGAUGAGGCCCUUUUUGCAAUAUUUUAUUUUAAAAAAUGUGAUCGGACUAACGUUUGGUCAUAACGACCAAAAUAAUAUUCGUCACCUUAAAAUACUGCUCUCUCUCUCAUUAUUGUUUAUGUUUAUGUAAACUGGAAUGGAAACUGCGUCGACUCGUUUUUGUAACAUUUAUUAUUUAUGUGAAUAAUUGUAAGAAAUAUAUCUAAAUACUCAUAUAAACAGUUUAUUUGGCGAGCGCGAAAUAUUUGGUUGAGUGGCUGAAUGGUGAAGUGACAGAGAGAAUGAGAAAUUAAAAAAAAAAUAAGAAGGUGUGGGCACAGAAGACCCAAUGGCGCCACACAAGCUUGGGACACCCCCCGUCGAGUACUAUUACGCAUUUAACUAAUUUUCUUGUCUCGUAAAGUACGAAAAGAGUCUCUCGGCCGAUCUUAAUAAUAUUUCAUCUUCAAUAUCAUUUUCAAAUUGUCGCUCUCAUUUGGAUAGCGAUUUGCCUCGUUUCUUCGGUCAUUUUCACCGGUCUUUCAUCGAUAUAAAUUGUUAGAUUCCGCAGAAACAUAACUAUUUUA